Long non-coding RNA from Solanum lycopersicum (tomato), 547 nucleotides. RefSeq lists it as uncharacterized. The record is from RefSeq and is a predicted model, not a curated record. Lineage: Eukaryota; Viridiplantae; Streptophyta; Magnoliopsida; Solanales; Solanaceae.
AAAUUCUAAAAGUUAACCAAGUUCUUCAUCCCAAAUAUUUCUCUCUCUAAAGUUUGAAGAAGAAGGUCAGGGUUCCAAGUCAAAGUCUCCAAUUUCAGCAUUGAUUUCAAUCUUUUGGAAUCAAGGGUUUGAUGCUUGGAUGUUGCAUCCCCAUUAGCUUGGUCAUUACAUUUCAUGAAAAGGUCCGACGUUUCGAUGUCGCAUCCCUGUGGCUAGAGAUCGUCUUAGUAGAUAUUAAAUAUUGGUGAAUCCUCAUGUUCCGAAGAUUGAACCUUUAUUUCAUAUUAUCUUUAAUUUUCAGUAUUGUAUGUGAUGUACGGAUUACGUCCCGUUCACUCUUUAUGUAUUAGAUGAUUUGAGACUAUGCUAGACUUUCACUACAUAUAAACUCUGAUGUUUUGAUAUCGUCUUUUAAACUCUCUUGAUUUUAUAAUUAUUUUAUAUGAUGUAUAUUAAGUGAUUUGUAUAGGACCUCUCGGGGUCUUAUACACCUAGUCACGUCUGGGGUGUACUUUGCGUCGUGACAGAUGCAUUGUAUUGUGUUACC